This is a long non-coding RNA of Gavialis gangeticus (Gharial), 5272 nucleotides long. RefSeq lists it as uncharacterized. The record is from RefSeq and is a predicted model, not a curated record. The transcript is spliced from 2 exons. NCBI's taxonomy places the organism in Eukaryota, Metazoa, Chordata, Crocodylia, Gavialidae.
GUUUGGUAGACAAUUGCUUGGGUUACAGCUUCUGACUGGAAUUGGAGCAAGAACACAUACCUACUUCUCAAAAUGAGUUUUCUCCUUAUGUUGAAGGUCUCUGUUCCCUUCAAGUUAAUAAAACGAAGUCAAAUGCCACAUAAGUUUAUAAAGUACUUUUUAAAUUUGCAUUCCAGAUGUUAUGUUGGGGGAGGAGGGAAGUUACCUCAAGUCAUUGGGCCAAGUUGUGUAUUUCUUAUUCCUUAUUUUAAGUAGUGAAGUCAGAGGGAGGAUUGCCUGAGUGAGAGUAGUGGGUUUUUUGCUUGUGAUGAGGAUCUGGCUUGUAAAUGAAUCACAAGGAGUACCUCUUCUGGAAAUCUGGCUUUUUCAGUAGUUACAUCUCUAAUGGUUACUGUAUCUUUCUUUUGUGGUGGUAAAUAAAACCACACAAAUACAAAACAAGUACUUUCAUUUCAGCAAAUUAUAAAAAAGGAGGUUCUAUUACAAGCUAAAUUUGACUCGAAUGGAAUUUUCAUUUAAUGCACAUUUCAACUGUUAGGAGUCCCAAAGAGGUAAAAUGCCAAAAUAUUUGUUUAUGGGGGGAGGGGGAAGAUAAUCUGUUACAAAACUAACAAGGAUCAGAAAUAGCAUUAAAGCUGUUUACCUGAAGAACCAUAAAUCUGUAUUUUUUUGGGAUAUGCUUCCACCAAAAUACUAUUUAUCCUAAUGCUUGGAUAUGAAAAAUCAUUCAUAUUUUGUGCAGUUGAAAAUAAAAUUCUGUUGGUUUUUUUUUUUUUUAUAUUUGCAAAAUUUGCGAGCUGCUUUGACUUCUAUGCAACUUGUGGGUACUCAAAUUUAGUUAAAGUUGCAAAAGCAUUUUAUUAAAACAUUUCAGAAGAUAUUUAUUAAAAUUUUAGUGCAUCAGAGAUAUACAUUGAACUUGGAGAAAACUACAUCAAAACUAUUAAACUCUACUCCAUAAAGAUUCUGUAAUAAAAUUAAAGGACUUAGUAUAUUCUGUGACAAAUACUAAGGAAAAAUGUGAUGGAAACAAAUUUGCAAACUUCCAAAAUUUUACUUGCGUGUGUCUUGAUCUUUCUUUCUGUCUGCAUAACAUCCAAAAAACCUAACGUAAAAAUAACUAUCUUGAAAAUGAGUUUCACCUCACACAGAUGUUUUAAAUUCAGUUUGUGCAAGUGUCCUGCUGACAUUGGUGGAGAAGUCACGAAAUGGGAUUAAGAAUUAUUUGAUCACUCAUUUAUAGCAGUUGUUUAAAUGUCUGUAUUGAUAAGAAGGUGUUUGACUUAAAAAAACAAAAAAAACCCCCAAAAAAACAAAAAACAAAAACGAAAAAACAAAAAAGCGUCAGAUUUCUAGUUAUUCCAAAACUUCUUGAGCAAGAUUUCUAAAGCUGUCAUGUUCCAUAGGCUUAGUUUCUUCUCAACAAGGUCAAUUUAAUUCUCAAAUUUAAUUUGCCAAAUCAUUAGAGCUAAAUGUCUAAUUUUUCCAGUUAAUAUAUCUGUUAAACAACAGUCUGUGUCUUAAUAUUGUAUAAAGGAUGAUCUCAAUCUUUAGGUAGCUGAACUGUCUUUAAAAAUUUUCAAAUUUUCAGAGAACUAAAAGAUCUAUAUAAAUGUGAUUCUUGAUGGUUCUUUUUCAACUAGUUAGAUUUUGUCUUCUGUAUUAGCAUAUUAAGCCCAUUUGUUGAAUUUUUUUGUUUGUUUCAGAAAAUACAAAUCUUACUAGCAGCAAAACCAAUGCAAAUAUUGGGUGGGACUAUUGUAUUUUUUUUAUAAGUGUACAGAAUUACUUGGCACCAAAUCAUGUAGUUGUAGUACAAGCAAAAUUUAUUUCAACACAAAUUGCUUGGCUAAGCACUACAAGAUUGGGUUCCUGAUCUUAUAUGAUGGACCAAAUCUUGCAAAUCUUGUGAAUGAAGCUUACUCACCUGUUGAUUUAAGUGAGACUUUUGUGUAAAAAUUAUUAGCAUGAUUUAGGUUUGCAAGAUUGGGUUCUGUGUCAUUUGUGAAUUGUUUGUGAGUAGCCAUGAGCCUUCUAGAGGGAGAGUCCCAGGUUGUAUGUUCCUGCUUUGCUAAAAUGAGCUUCUGUUAACUUAGGACUCAUUUGAAGCUGCUUUGUGUGUGAUGAAUUGGCUCUCGUAAUUUGUAUUAUACAGUAAAGAAUGGCAACUUUAAGUAUAUUAAUUUACUGACUAAAAUCUGUGGAGUAGAAAAAAGUCUUUUAAGGGAAAAUGUGAAAUCUGUAAUCUUUUCCCUAAACACUCAACAGCUGAGAUGCAUCUUUCAAAUGCUUAAUAUUUGCCAGGAACUUCUGAAACUUUAAAGUAGCAGAAUUCCUCUGGACAAAUGUUUUAACAUCUUGUUUGGAGGUUACCAGAAGCUCUGAGUAUCAGUUCAGAAUAUGUUGCAUCAUAUUUUCUGAUGUUGUCCAGAAACCUGCAAGUGUGUUCCUUUUUUUUAACUCCUUCCUUUUACCUGACUAUCAGGGAAGCGUGGUUGAGGCUGCCCUGACCUGACAUGUCAUGAUGUCGACUUGCUAGGUGGGGUUCGCAGGGAUCAUUUACCUUGGAGUUGUCGUGUCUGCAACAAAUGAGGACGGAAUGUGACAAAUGACCCUGAUUCAUUUCCACGGCAUCAACUAGCCUAUAUGCUGAAUGAGGCAGAAGUUUCGUGGUAAAAAUAUUACAUGAUCAUGUAAUUAAAAGACCGUCUCAUAAUACGUAUCUGCCCAACACUGAAUUUAAGUUGUGGUUAGCAAACAUGUUUUGACAUUUCCUAGCUUGAGUGCUUGAUUCUUCAGGCUUAAGUUUUGGAUGCAUUUUCCCAACUUUUUAAAUAAAAAAAUCAGUCAAAUUCUAUCAUGCUUUAUCUUGUUGAUUCUCCAUUUCAGUGGUUAGCAGGGUUUAAAAAGCUGGUCCACAGUCAGCACUUCUGCUGGAUCAAGCAGUAGGGUACCAAAGAGGAGUCUUAUCUCAUUCACAGAGGUUAGUUAAGCUUGUGGGUUUUGUAGCUAUUUUCUGAGAGUAAAACAUAGAGACUCUGAAAUCCAGUUUUGGCUUCCUGGUUCAGAAGGGAAGUAUGCUCUAGUAGUUAGGAUUAACUUAAUCCACUUCAUUCCAGUCAGGCUCCUGCCUUUUCUAAUAUAUUGCUUGGAUUAUUAGUGUGGCUGACACAGAUCACAAGAGAGAUGGUAUUCCUUUGUUUAUUUCUAUUCCCAGACCUAUAGCAACUGGGAGGAGGACCAGUUGUAGGGACCACUCCGCUUGUAUCUGCUGCUCUCAAGUUAGAAUAUUUUCUCAGUGGAAAUUAUCUUGGCAUAAUUAAUUUGCCAAACUUCCAGGAAAACUCUGUUGAGACAUGGUAGUGCUUAUGCCAAAACAUGAAGAUAGUUCAGUUGAGCAGUUACAAAGAAUUAAUACUAGUGAGAGAUUUUUUUUGUCCUGGUCAUUCUCAGAAUGGUUGAAUUGUGUUUAGCUCAAAAAACAUCCCCCAAAAAUGCAGUUGAGAUAGAUGGUCAGCAUAGAAAACUUUACCCCAAACAGUUUAGCAUCAUUUAAAAGCAAGUAAAAACGAGCUUUUAAAAUAAAGUACCAGGUAAUUUUAACUAUAGGCAGUUCUACACUUUAUCUGUAAUUAUUGGAUAGAGUCCUUGUAUUUAACCAUUUAAACCUUUUUAUUUCUUUCAAGAUUUUAAGUUUUUUCUAUUAGGAGACAGUUACAUGUCAUUGGCUUCAAUGUAACCUCAGUGCACUCCAUUCAAAUGUUGCUCUCCCCUCUAUCUUGACAGCUACAUGAGACAGCAUGAGUCCGUUAGAUGUCUUUUUUCAUUUAUCCUUUCCUUUGUAGCUGAUUGUAUUAACAUCAGUAGUUUGACACUUGUGCCAGUCACAUCAGCAAGCUAGAGGCUAAAUUAUAUGAAGCUGCACACUUUUACCUAUGCUAUAGGAAAUGACUGAUCUCAAGUAUUCAAAUUGCUUGUAAUAUGAAGAGCAAUGGGUAGAUAAUUUUCCUGUAAGUCCUAUUUACUGCAGGGUUCUGGACAGGAGAAACAAAAAAGGAAGAGAGAUCAGCUUCUCCUGCAAGAGGAAAAUUUUAAGACCAUAGUCUUAGGAACCCAUUCCUCAGGCUGAGGCUUUUUUUCCCCCUUAAGUUCAGAGAGUCUUUAUUUCCCCCUCUCCCCCACUUUAACUCGAGGCAAGCAAUCUUUGCAGCAGUUUUUACACACGUGUCUUUCAGGAUUUCUGACUGCCCUCUUUCUCUGAAGGAUAUCACAGUAGAAAUUAAAUUUCUUUCUGCUCAAAAGGUUGGGAAUACUGUUGUAAAGCAUGUCCAUACACAAACUUGUACAAGUACAAAUUAAAGGAACAUGUGUUAAGAUUUCUUAAAUCAAUGCAAAACCCUGUAUGUAUAGUUUUACAUGCUUACAUCAAGUGAAUUUGAUUUGAUAAAUCACUUUAAGGCCUUCCAUGCAAGGUGUGCACCAGGUAAUUUUUUUAUACAAAUUAUCAUUAAAGCAUCUUACUAUAUAGGAAACAAGCUAUAAUGUCUCCAAGAUGUGAAACUCCAAAUUAAUAAAGAACCAUAUAUGGAUUGUUCUUGAAAACCAAUUCUGUAGUAACACUUCUGGUGGUAAAUUGACCAUUCAUUCCUUUGAUGGGCACAAAACAUCGCUUCAUGAUCAUUUUGACAAGAAAGUUGGUGGGGUUUUCAGAAGAGGCUGAAGACCAGAGGCACAUGGAUAAUGCACAUUUAACACCAUCAGCUGAAGUGCAAUCAGUCUUUGAUAAAGGCAUGGAAACAUCUUAUUUUCUUUACUCUUCACCCAGAAAAAUUGACACACGGACUGAGUUGUCAGAUAUUAUUCUCUGAUCUAUUUCCUGUUCCACAAAGAAACCUGCGUUUUCCAACUUGAGCCUCUAACCACCAGACUUGCUCAGACUUUGUCCUCCAUGGGUAUUUCUUCUCUGCAAAGGCUACAUUGGCUUGCAUUGGAAAGAUGCAGGAAAUGAGCUUAGCACUGUGCGAAGUGGACACCAAAAUACUUAAGUUUCAUGACUCGAUGUAAACCGUACAUUGCAUUGGCGAUUGAUUUUAGUAUCUAGGAGAUUUACAUCUUUCUCAUAUUUGAUAAGCACACUUAUGAGCUUCCAGUGAGAAUUAGUUUUUAGGAGAGGUAAUGAAAGGUGGUGGUAGUUUUAGUGGACUGAGAUGUAGAGGUACAUUCCACAGAAAGAGAGAUUCUUUGGAGAAAUUCAGUAAUACUGUACCUGAAG